UACGGAGGGGACUAGCGUUGUUCGGAAUUACUGGGCGUAAAGCGCACGUAGGCGGAUUUGUAAGUCAGGGGUGAAAUCCCGGGGCUCAACCCCGGAACUGCCUUUGAUACUGCAAAUCUCGAGUCCGGAAGAGGUGAGUGGAAUUCCUAGUGUAGAGGUGAAAUUCGUAGAUAUUAGGAAGAACACCAGUGGCGAAGGCGGCUCACUGGUCCGGUACUGACGCUGAGGUGCGAAAGCGUGGGGAGCAAACAGG
Molecule: ribosomal RNA, 253 nt
Filed under: uncultured bacterium
Lineage: Bacteria
Description: partial 16S ribosomal RNA
Rfam family: Bacterial small subunit ribosomal RNA
Source: RNAcentral